AGUGAACGCUGGCGGUAGGCCUAACACAUGCAAGUCGAACGGCAGCACAGGAGAGCUUGCUCUCUGGGUGGCGAGUGGCGGACGGGUGAGGAAUACAUCGGAAUCUACUUUUUCGUGGGGGAUAACGUAGGGAAACUUACGCUAAUACCGCAUACGACCUACGGGUGAAAGCAGGGGACCUUCGGGCCUUGCGCGAUUGAAUGAGCCGAUGUCGGAUUAGCUAGUUGGCGGGGUAAAGGCCCACCAAGGCGACGAUCCGUAGCUGGUCUGAAAGGAGGAUCCGCAACACUUGAAGUGAGACACGGUCCAGACUCCUACGGGAGGCAGCAGUGGGGAAUAUUGGACAAUGGGCGCAAGCCUGAUCCAGCCAUACCGCGUGGGUGAAGAAGGCCUUCGGGUUGUAAAGCCCUUUUGUUGGGAAAGAAAUCCAGCUGGCUAAUACCCGGUUGGGAUGGCGGUACCCAAAGAAUAAGCACCGGCUAACUUCGUGCCAGCCGCCGCCGUAA
This 506-nucleotide ribosomal RNA is filed under the name uncultured bacterium. Its description in RNAcentral is "partial 16S ribosomal RNA". It matches the Rfam family "Bacterial small subunit ribosomal RNA", at positions 29 to 523 of the family's 1533-position model. The record is from RNAcentral.